Molecule: non-coding RNA, 92 nt
Organism: Oreochromis niloticus (Nile tilapia)
Lineage: Eukaryota; Metazoa; Chordata; Actinopteri; Cichliformes; Cichlidae
Source: Rfam
GGCUCUGUGGUGCAAUGGAUAGCACAUUGGACUUCUACUGGUUUAUUUCAGAUGCAAUUCAAAGGUUGUGGGUUCAAGUCCCACCAGAGUCA